CGCACUUUGCGAGCCAAUUUAUCUGCGUUUAUAUCCGCACUUCUUGGAAUAAGAGAUAAAGGGAAGGUAGAAAAUUCUUCCUUGUCGAUAUUGAUGUCAUCCAGGCAAACAAAGAAAGUCGGCCACUCGGAAGGGAAAAAAGAGACCAUCUUCACCAAAUCAGAACACUCUGUGAAACAAAUAAUGUCUCUGAAAUUAUGAUCAAUCAUACAUCGCAUCUCCCACACCAAUGCCUCAUCCUCAGCAUGAAGAGGAGUGAGACUGCGACAGAGAUUUGAAGCCCCCAUAAUCGUGUACCCAUCUUGAACGCGCUGGCAAUGCUAGCCUAAGCCUGAAUACUUAUCCGUAUCCUUCCAGGAGCCAUCUAUAAAACACUUAUAGCCGGUAAAUACAGAUGGCAAGAUACAUGAUCGCUUAUUCGCCCUCGAGUUAUCAGCUGGGGGCGCCUGUGGAGCACCCAUGUCUUCUGAGCUGCCUGUGGAGCACCCAUGUCUUCUGAGCUGCCUGCCAAGCACUGGCUUCU
This 523-nucleotide long non-coding RNA is filed under the name Capsella rubella. Its description in RNAcentral is "long non-coding RNA (CRUB_LNC000275)". The record is from RNAcentral. Lineage: Eukaryota; Viridiplantae; Streptophyta; Magnoliopsida; Brassicales; Brassicaceae.